This 72-nucleotide transfer RNA is filed under the name Armatimonadota bacterium. RNAcentral's name for it is "tRNA-Thr". It matches the Rfam family "tRNA". Rfam says of the family: Transfer RNA (tRNA) molecules are approximately 80 nucleotides in length. Their secondary structure includes four short double-helical elements and three loops (D, anti-codon, and T loops). The record is from RNAcentral. Lineage: Bacteria; Bacillati; Armatimonadota.
GCCUGGGUAGCUCAAUGGUAGAGCAUCCGCCUUGUAAGCGGACGGUUGGGGGUUCGAUUCCCUUCCCAGGCU